UACAGAGGUCUCAAGCGUUGUUCGGAUUCAUUGGGCGUAAAGGGUGUGUAGGUGGCGCCGUAAGUCGGGUGUGAAAUUUCGGAGCUUAACUCCGAAACUGCAUUCGAUACUGCGGUGCUUGAGGACUGGAGAGGAGACUGGAAUUCAUGGUGUAGCAGUGAAAUGCGUAGAGACCAUGAGGAAGACCAGUGGCGAAGGCGGGUCUCUGGACAGUUCCUGACACUGAGACACGAAGGCCAGGGGAGCAAACGGG
RNAcentral lists this ribosomal RNA (253 nucleotides) under uncultured bacterium. RNAcentral's name for it is "partial 16S ribosomal RNA". It matches the Rfam family "Bacterial small subunit ribosomal RNA", at positions 524 to 776 of the family's 1533-position model. The record is from RNAcentral.